This 681-nucleotide ribosomal RNA is filed under the name uncultured fungus. RNAcentral describes it as "eukaryotic LSU rRNA". The stretch from base 158 to 311 matches the Rfam family "5.8S ribosomal RNA". Lineage: Eukaryota; Fungi. The record is from RNAcentral.
CCUGACGGGUUGUUGCUGGCUCUCUAGGGAGCAUGUGCACGCCUUGUCAUCUUUAUAUCUCCACCUGUGCACCUUUUGUAGACCCUUUCAGGGGUCUAUGUUGCUUCAUUUACCCCAAUGUAUGUUAAUAGAAUGUUGUGCCUAUUAUAAUGUAUACAACUUUCAGCAACGGAUCUCUUGGCUCUCGCAUCGAUGAAGAACGCAGCGAAAUGCGAUAAGUAAUGUGAAUUGCAGAAUUCAGUGAAUCAUCGAAUCUUUGAACGCACCUUGCGCUCCUUGGUAUUCCGAGGAGCAUGCCUGUUUGAGUGUCAUUAAUAUAUAUCAACCUUCUCUUCGGUGAAUGGUUUGGAUGUGGGGGUUUGCUGGCCUCUAAAGAGUUCAGCUCUCCUGAAAUGCAUCAGCGGAACAACCUGUUCAUUGGUGUGAUAAAAUAUCUACGCCGUUGAAUGUGAGGGACAGUUCAGCUUUCUAACAGUCCUUGGACAAAUCAUCAUUAAUGUGACCUCAAAUCAGGUAGGACUACCCGCUGAACUUAAGCAUAUCAAUAAGCGGAGGAAAAGAAACUAACAAGGAUUCCCCUAGUAACUGCGAGUGAAGCGGGAAAAGCUCAAAUUUAAAAUCUGGUGGUCUUUUGGCUGUCCGAGUUGUAAUCUAGAGAAGUGUUAUCCGCGCUGGACCGUG